CUUAUAAUUACCUUAUAGUUAUACCUUAUAGUUAUGCUUGUUAAAUAAUAAAUAUUUUUAUUUUGGUUGUAUCUCGCUCAAUAUUGUAUGUAAAUUCAAGUGUUAUAUAUCAAAACCUAAGUUAGUCCUUUCUGAAUGCAAUGAGCUUUAUUUCAUUGCGAUAGCUUUUAUAGCUUUUACGUCACAUGAAAUUAAACAGUGUCCAGUUUUUUUUUUGGUACACCCGGUAGAACUAUCAUCAACUUUUAAACUUAGGGUGAUAAUAUAGAACCAAGACACUAACCCUAUAGAAUGGCCUUGUGACGAAACAUAACGAUGUCACCGAUAAGCGCUCAGGGUAAGUGUUAUAAAACCCUAUCCCU
Non-coding RNA from Paramuricea clavata, 362 nucleotides. The record is from the annotation of a GenBank genome assembly. Lineage: Eukaryota; Metazoa; Cnidaria; Anthozoa; Malacalcyonacea; Plexauridae.